Long non-coding RNA from Alexandromys fortis (reed vole), 707 nucleotides. RefSeq lists it as uncharacterized. The transcript is spliced from 4 exons. The record is from RefSeq and is a predicted model, not a curated record. Lineage: Eukaryota; Metazoa; Chordata; Mammalia; Rodentia; Cricetidae.
GCCAGUAUCCCAGGCACUCCCAUGUUUGUUCUCAGCUGGGCUUCACCCCCAGAGUGUGGGAAGUCCCUGGCUGCUCUGGCAUCUACUGCUAGAAACUGUCCUGUGUUUACAGAUUGUCUCAGUUCAGGGCGGAUUAUGAGAGGGUGGUAAGGAGAGGGUACUUUGUUCUAGUCUACCAACCAUGCAACCUACCAACCAUGAGACUGUGACUGUUGAACACCCAGGGGAGGCAGCUUGUAUCAUCACUUCAGAACCAUUCUGAUGUUCGUCUCUGGAUCCAGUCAAGCACAAAUUUUCUCCAUGGGGACAAAAUCGCAUCCAGUCUUUCUGCAAAACCUUAAACAAUGCCCCAUAUCGAGCAGAAUUAAAACAAGAAGCAUGUCUUCACAUGUCAACACAGCUUGGAUCUUACAUCGUCUGGACUUGAUGUCUGCAUGGUGGGACUGCCUUGCCUAUAGACUCACAAAGACGUCACUUCCCACCCCAGUAAUCAACAUGUGGAACUGGGGGGGGGGGCGCUGGGUAAACAUGAUCACUCUAAGACCCUUUCCCAGGGCCUUCACCAGUCCUCUACAGACAUGAAUGGACAGAAUAGUUUAAAAAAUUCAGGGGCUAGAGAAAUGGCUCAACAGUUAAGAGCACUGGCUGCUCUUCCAGAGGUCCUGAAUUCAAUUCACAGCACCCACAUGGCAGCUCACAGUUUUCUA